This is a long non-coding RNA of Felis catus (domestic cat), 1485 nucleotides long. RefSeq lists it as uncharacterized. The record is from RefSeq and is a predicted model, not a curated record. The transcript is spliced from 3 exons. Lineage: Eukaryota; Metazoa; Chordata; Mammalia; Carnivora; Felidae.
UCUACUCAAUAUGGAUUGCUUUCCCAUCAUUGUAAAGUCAGAAAAUCAUAAAUUGAACCAUCGUAAGUCAGGAACUGCUUGUAUUAUUAAAUAUGGAUUCUCACUUGGGACCUUGGCAGUGUGCUUUGCUUUUUAGAAGAGAAGUGUCAGUCAGUCUUAAUCCCACAGUCAAUAGUAGAGGACACGACUAAUAUAGGUGGUAUAAGAUAGCAUGGGAAUUUAGGUGAUAGUGCAGUAAUUCAGAGCUGAUGAGCUUGUGGCUGUCUUCACAAGGAAUUUAAGCGUUACUGACAGGCACGUAGCCUUAAAGGGGUUAAAAGUGUAAGACUCAGUCCCUAGACAAAAAUGUUUGCUGGCUUCAACAAGAUUGCCCCCAAAUUCAUGUCCACCCAGAACCUCACAAUGUGCCCUUAUUAUGAAAUAGGGUCUUUGUGAUACAAUUAAGUUAAGGAUCAAGAUGAGAUCACACUGUAUUAGAGUGGACCCUAAAUCCAAUGAGGGCACCCUUACAAGAGAAAGAAAUGGACCCUUAGAAGUAUAGGGAAAGAGCUCAUCUGAAGACAAAGGCAGAGAUUUCUAUUAUUCUGCCACAAGACAAAAAAUCUGGGGCCACCAGAGGCUGGAAGAAACAAGGAAAGAUCUUCCCUAAGCCCUUGAGGGAGCAUGGCCCUGUUGACACUUCGAUUUUGUCCUUCUGUCAUCUAAAACUCUAUUGUGAGAAAAUAUAUUUCUGUUCUUUUAAUCUACCAUGUUUGGGUCACUUUUAUGACAUUCUGGAAAUCAAACACAGAGGGUUUCCAGGAGCCUGGUAUAUUGGCAAGAUCACUGCCUAACACCGUAGCUAUUCAAGGUGCCUUCCACUCUGUAGAGGGAGAGAAAAGUUACCAUCAAGCAAGAAGCAGUUGAAUGCCUUAAGGGAAGUACAGACCUUGCAGGAGUCAGGUUUGUUUACUGUCAUCCUGGCCUCACCAAUUGCUUACUUCUCUGAACCUCAGAUACCUAACUUCGAAAACACUGCUCUUUGUGGCUAGGAAGUUCUGGACAAGACUAUGUGCACAUCCCUUUCACUGCUUCUAGCUAUCAAAUGGGUUUAUGCCUCAGGUAGCUCUCAAAAUCUUCAAUCAAGGAGUUCAUUUAAUGAAGGUUUUGAUCCAGAAAACCAAAAUCAAGAUUUCCACAGGGACACAGUCCCUCCAGGGCUUCAGGGAGAAUUUGUUCCUGUUUCUUUUCACUGUCUGGUGACUUCAAGUAUUCCUCAGCUUGCUGCCAUAUUACUCAGUAUCUGCCUCCAUCAUCCCAUUACCUCCUCAUCUUCCUUGUCCUCUCCUCUCUGUGUAAGUCUUAAAACUCCCUCUGCUUCUUUAUUAGAAGAAUACAUUUCACUGAAUACAGGGUACAUGGAGAAAACUCAGGCUAAGCUCCUCCUCUUAAAUAUCCUUUAAAAAAUCACAUAUUUUGCCAUAUAAGUUAAUAUUCACUAUUUUG